GAUGAAGAACGUAGCGAAAUGCGAUAAGUAAUGCGAAUUGCAGAAUCCGUGAGUCAUCGAAUCUUUGAACGCACAUUGCGCCCUCUGGUAUUCCGGAGGGCAUGCCUGUUCGAGCGUCAUUUCAACCCUCAAGCCCCCGGGCUUGGUGUUGGGGAUCGGCGAGCCUCCGCGCCCGCCGUCCCCUAAAUCUAGUGGCGGUCUCGCUGUAGCUUCCUCUGCGUAGUAGCACACCUCGCACUGGGAAACAGCGCGGCCACGCCGUUAAACCCCCAACUUCUGAACGUUUGACCUCGGAUCAGGUAGGAAUACCCGCUGAACUUAAGCAUAUCAAUAAGCGGAGGA
This 342-nucleotide unclassified non-coding RNA is filed under the name soil metagenome. Its description in RNAcentral is "partial contains 5.8S ribosomal RNA, internal transcribed spacer 2, and large subunit ribosomal RNA". The stretch from base 1 to 119 matches the Rfam family "5.8S ribosomal RNA", at positions 35 to 154 of the family's 154-position model. The record is from RNAcentral.